GAUGAACGCUAGCUACAGUCUUAACACAUGCAAGUCGAGGGACCGGCGCACGGGUGAGUCACACGUAUCCAACCUGCCCUUUACCCGGGGAUAGCCUUUAGAAAGAAAGAUUAAUACCCGAUAUAAAGGAUGGGGAUGCGUUCCAUUAGGGUGUUGGUGAGGUAACGGCUCACCAAGCCUUCGACGGAUAGGGGUUCUGAGAGGAAGGUCCACUGGGUUGUAACGGAGGCACGGUCCAAACUCGUACGGAAGGGAGGAGUGAGUAAUGUAGGGCAAUAGUGGCUAGCCGGACACAGCCAAGUAGCGUGAAGGAUGAAGGCGUAGGGGUCGUAAGCUUCUAUUAUAUAACAAUAGGUAUUAUAUGAGUAAGGAUCGGCUAACUCCGUGCCAGCAGCCGCGGUAAUAC
This 406-nucleotide ribosomal RNA is filed under the name uncultured bacterium. RNAcentral describes it as "partial 16S ribosomal RNA". It matches the Rfam family "Bacterial small subunit ribosomal RNA", at positions 28 to 526 of the family's 1533-position model. The record is from RNAcentral.